GCCUUGGCAGUCUCAGGCGAUGAAGGACGUAUUAACUUGCGAUAAGCCCAGAUUAGGCAGUAAAAGCCACUUGAGUCUGGGAUUUCCGAAUGGGGAAACCCACUUGCAUAAGCAAGUAUCAUUAACUGAAUACAUAGGUUAAUGAAGCGAACCGGGGGAACUGAAACAUCUAAGUACCCCGAGGAAGAGAAAUCAACCGAGAUUCCGGUAGUAGCGGCGAGCGAAACCGGAUUAGCCCUUAAGCUAGUUCUGCGUUAGGUGAAUGUGCUGGAAAGCACAGCGAUACAGGGUGAUAGCCCCGUAACCAAAAAUGCAUUAAUAGUGAAAUCGAGUA
Molecule: ribosomal RNA, 334 nt
Filed under: Photobacterium phosphoreum
Lineage: Bacteria; Pseudomonadati; Pseudomonadota; Gammaproteobacteria; Vibrionales; Vibrionaceae
Description: bacterial LSU rRNA
Rfam family: Bacterial large subunit ribosomal RNA
Source: RNAcentral